RNAcentral lists this ribosomal RNA (2323 nucleotides) under Enterococcus casseliflavus ATCC 49996. RNAcentral describes it as "bacterial LSU rRNA". It matches the Rfam family "Bacterial large subunit ribosomal RNA", at positions 1 to 2336 of the family's 2925-position model. The record is from RNAcentral. Lineage: Bacteria; Bacillati; Bacillota; Bacilli; Lactobacillales; Enterococcaceae.
UUAAGUGAAUAAGGGCGCACGGUGGAUGCCUUGGCACUAGGAGCCGAUGAAGGACGGGACUAACACCGAUAUGCUUUGGGGAGCUGUAAGUAAGCUAUGAUCCAGAGAUUUCCGAAUGGGGGAACCCAGCAUCUUUUAUAGGAUGUUACGUCUGCGUGAAUACAUAGCGCAGUCGAGGUAGACGCAGAGAACUGAAACAUCUAAGUACCUGCAGGAAGAGAAAGAAAAUUCGAUUCCCUGAGUAGCGGCGAGCGAAACGGGAAAAGCCCAAACCAACAAGCUUGCUUGUUGGGGUUGUAGGACUCCGAUAUGGUAGUCUAUUCAGAUAGUCGAAAUACUUGGAAAAGUAUGUCAAAGAGGGUAAAAACCCCGUAGGCGAAAUUUGGAUAACACCUAGGAGGAUCCUGAGUACGGCGGAACACGAGGAAUUCCGUCGGAAUCCGGGAGGACCAUCUCCCAAGGCUAAAUACUCCCUAGUGACCGAUAGUGAACCAGUACCGUGAGGGAAAGGUGAAAAGCACCCCGGAAGGGGAGUGAAAUAGAUCCUGAAACCGUGUGCCUACAACAAGUUAGAGCCCGUUAAUGGGUGAUAGCGUGCCUUUUGUAGAAUGAACCGGCGAGUUACGAUAGCAUGCGAGGUUAAGUUGAAGAGACGGAGCCGUAGCGAAAGCGAGUCUGAAUAGGGCGAAUGAGUAUGUUGUCGUAGACCCGAAACCAUGUGAUCUACCCAUGUCCAGGUUGAAGGUGCGGUAAAACGCACUGGAGGACCGAACCCACGUACGUUGAAAAGUGCGGGGAUGAGGUGUGGGUAGCGGAGAAAUUCCAAACGAACUUGGAGAUAGCUGGUUCUCUCCGAAAUAGCUUUAGGGCUAGCCUCGGAAUUGAGAAUGAUGGAGGUAGAGCACUGUUUGGACUAGGGGCCCAUCUCGGGUUACCGAAUUCAGAUAAACUCCGAAUGCCAUUCAUUCAUAUCCGGGAGUCAGACUGUGAGUGAUAAGAUCCAUAGUCGAAAGGGAAACAGCCCAGACCACCAGCUAAGGUCCCCAAAUAACUAUUAAGUGGAAAAGGAUGUGGGGUUGCACAGACAACUAGGAUGUUGGCUUAGAAGCAGCCACCAUUUAAAGAGUGCGUAAUAGCUCACUAGUCGAGUGACCCUGCGCCGAAAAUGUACCGGGGCUAAAUAGUUUACCGAAGCUGUGGAGUGCACCAUUAGGUGCAUUGGUAGGAGAGCGUUCUAAGGGCGUUGAAGGCAGAUCGUGAGGACUGCUGGAGCGCUUAGAAGUGAGAAUGCCGGUAUGAGUAGCGAAAGACAGGUGAGAAUCCUGUCCACCGAAUGACUAAGGUUUCCUGGGGAAGGCUCGUCCGCCCAGGGUUAGUCGGGACCUAAGCCGAGGCCGACAGGCGUAGGCGAUGGACAACAGGUUGAUAUUCCUGUACCCGUUGUUUUUGUUUGAGCAAUGGAGGGACGCAGGAGGCUAAGAAGUGCAGACUGAUGGAUAUGUCUGUUCAAGCAGUAAGUCUUGGUAGGAGUCAAAUGCUUCUACCUAUACGGACAAGCUGUGAUGAGGAGGGAAAUAAUAGUACCGAAGCUUCUGAUGUCACACUGCCAAGAAAAGCUUCUAGUGAGAAAACAACGGCCCGUACCGCAAACCGACACAGGUAGUCGAGGAGAGAAUCCUAAGGUGAGCGAGAGAACUCUCGUUAAGGAACUCGGCAAAAUGACCCCGUAACUUCGGGAGAAGGGGUGCUGCUCUAACGAGCAGCCGCAGUGAAUAGGCCCAAGCGACUGUUUAUCAAAAACACAGGUCUCUGCAAAAUCGAAAGAUGACGUAUAGGGGCUGACGCCUGCCCGGUGCUGGAAGGUUAAGAGGAGUGCUUAGCGUAAGCGAAGGUACGAAUUGAAGCCCCAGUAAACGGCGGCCGUAACUAUAACGGUCCUAAGGUAGCGAAAUUCCUUGUCGGGUAAGUUCCGACCCGCACGAAAGGCGUAACGAUUUGGGCACUGUCUCAACGAGAGACUCGGUGAAAUUUUAGUACCUGUGAAGAUGCAGGUUACCCGCGACAGGACGGAAAGACCCCAUGGAGCUUUACUGUAGUUUGAUAUUGAGUGUCUGUACCGCAUGUACAGGAUAGGUAGGAGCCGUAGAGAUCGGGACGCCAGUUUCGAUGGAGGCAAUGGUGGGAUACUACCCUUGCGUUAUGGCCACUCUAACCCGCAGCCCUUAUCGGGCUGGGAGACAGUGUCAGAUGGGCAGUUUGACUGGGGCGGUCGCCUCCUAAAAGGUAACGGAGGCGCCCAAAGGUUCCCUCAGAAUGGUUGGAA